CCCCCUUCUUCGCCCAUCCCCGGUGGGGUAGGUGGUGGAGGAGGCCUCUUCCGCCCGUUGUCUGGCGGCGGGUGCCCGCGGGGUCGAUCUGCUUCCCCCUGGAGCAGAAAGUUGGGAGGGUGAAGCGUGGCUCUUGCCCGUUGAGUUUGGCUUUGGUCUCUCUCCUCUCCCGCCAGGAUGCUGGUGGCGUGCGGCAUGCAGCGAUGUCACCAGGAAGCGCUAAAGAAGAACCGGGUGAUGCUGGCAAAGCAGAUGAUUUUGAAAGAAUUGGCUGAGCAUAUGAUAGAGAAGGACAUCAUCACCACGGAGAUGAUGGAAAUGAUACAGGCCAAGUCUGGGAGCUUCAGCCAAAAUGUGGAAUUCCUUGAUUUGCUGCCCAAGAGAGGCCCUAAUGCCUUCUCAGCCUUCUGUGAAGCUCUACGAGAAACCAAACAGCAGCAUCUGGAGACAGUGAUCUUGAAUACAACAUCCAACCUGAGUCACGGGACUGCAAGGCUUGAACACUGUUAUGGAUCAAAUCUUCCAUUCCCUGUCAGUGAGUUGUGUAAUUCAAAGAGACCACGCUGGAUUGAACCAAUGGAACAUUCCUUGGAUAAUGGAGAUGGUCUACAGAUUCCUCCAGUGAAGUACUGCUCUCCUGAAUUUUAUCGUGAUCAUCAGCACUUGGCAUAUAAACUGAUAUCAGAGCCCCGAGGCUUAGCACUUAUUCUCAGCAAUGUCCAUUUCAGCAGUGAGAAGGACUUGGAAUAUCGCGCAGGGGGAGAUGUGGACUGUAAUUCGCUGGAGAUGCUUUUCAAGCAUCUUGGGUAUCAAGUGACUGUCUGUCAUGAUCAAACUGCACAGGAGAUGCGGAAUGCAUUGGAGAGGUUCUCUAAGCUGCCAGGUCAUCGGGAUGUGGAUUCGUGCAUUGUUGCUUUGCUUUCCCAUGGUGUGGAGGGUGGGGUUUAUGGCAGUGAUGGCAAACUACUACAGUUGCAGGAGGCUUUCCGGCUCUUUGAUAAUGCAAACUGUACAAAUCUUCAGAAUAAGCCCAAAAUGUUCUUUAUUCAGGCCUGCCGUGGAGGUAUAAGUGGAACCCAUAUUCACCUCCCUCUGCCCUGCUGCUGCCACUGCAUCUGUUGCUCUGUAAGUGUCUUUUGCUCUGCAUGGGAUGUGUGCAUUGGCUUGCAAACCUCAGAGCACCUUAAUGAUAUCAAACUCUAUCACAUCCCGCUCAUAUGUUGAGGCUUUCUCGCUUUGCCUGCAGUAAGGGGAGUGGGGCAUAUGGUGCAUCAAAUUGCAGCACAGCACAGAGUGGUACACUAGCAAUGGAGUCCUGUCUGAGGUCCUUUCUUUUGAUCCUGGAUGUAUUAUGUCUCUUGUGCUGUUGUCUCUUGAGCUAUCAAAGUUGGCUCAAAGUCUUUUUUUGUCUCUUUUUCCCCUUUACCCUAUCCUCUUUUCAACCUCCAAAUGACCUUUCUUUACACCCUCUUCCACAUACUACUGUAGAAUGUUUACAUACUAUUGUACAGAAUUCUUUUCUUCAUUCUCAUAUACUUGGGUUUUUUCCACUUUCUGUUCCUUUUUUUUUUUUUUUUUUUAAAUUGUGCCAUUCAUUUUCCCUCCUCUUGUAACUAAACACAUGUCUAUAAGCACCUACGUUUCAGAUCUGCUAAUGACUUUUUCCCUAAACUAUUUGGACUUUUUGAGAUUGCUGUGAAACUGUGGAUACUCCAAAGCAAAGUUCUGUCUUAGAAAGCUUUGUUUUUUCUGUUGUGAUAGAGAAGUUCUUCUAGUGUGUAUGCUUUUCCCCCUUUUCCCUUGUAAUUGUCUCCCUUUUUAAUUUUUAGCAGAGCUUUAUAGUUUGUCCUCUAGCCAAGAGGAUGUUUCAUUCACCUGUUAUCUACUUGUGUUCAAUCCCAGUGAGGAGAAAAACUUAGUCACAUGAAGUAUUUUGGCAAUCAGAAAUAUUUGAUUCUUCUAAGCAUUUGGAAAUACUGUAACGUGUAUUUACAGUAUGAAUUGAACGUGAUUGCUUUUCUUACAUUAUUGAAUCUUUAGAUACUCUUGAACAAACAUGAAAAUGCAGACUCAUAACACUGUGGAAAUAAGUGUAAUAAACCAAAGCUUUGUAACUGACCUUAUUAGACAAUCAGACCUUCCCACUGCUGCUUGGAGGAAAAGAACAGCGUUGCUGUCUUAUAAACUGACCAUUACCUAUGCAUAAUUAUGAGAUGUCUUCAGUGCCACUGCCUGUAAAAGUGUUAGAAAUCCAAAUGCAUUUCUUAGGCAUGUCCUGGCAACAAAAUCCUAGAGCCAUCAUAACAGGAGGAUCUCUGAAAUGGACACUUGUGCCUCCUAAGACUAGCAUCUACUUACUAGGAAAUGAGACAGACCGGGGAGUGGAUCAAAGAGAUGGGAAAGAAUGGUCAGAUUCCCCAGGCUGUGAGGAAAGUGAUGCAAACAAGGAAGAAAAUCUCAAACUGCGUCUCCC
RNA transcript from Athene cunicularia (burrowing owl), 2473 nucleotides. It is a transcript of the gene named caspase 2, with no coding region annotated. The transcript has 10 exons. Lineage: Eukaryota; Metazoa; Chordata; Aves; Strigiformes; Strigidae. The record is from RefSeq and is a predicted model, not a curated record.